Molecule: ribosomal RNA, 783 nt
Filed under: uncultured bacterium
Lineage: Bacteria
Description: bacterial SSU rRNA
Rfam family: Bacterial small subunit ribosomal RNA
Source: RNAcentral
UCGAACGCGUUGGCCCAAUUGAUUGAUGGUGCUUGCACCUGAUUGAUUCUUGUCGCCAACGAGUGGCGGACGGGUGAGUAACACGUACGUAACCUGCCCAGAAGCGGGGGACAACAUUUGGAAACAGAUGCUAAUACCGCAUAACAACGUUGUUCGCAUGAACAACGCUUAAAAGAUGGCUUCUCGCUAUCACUUCUGGAUGGACCUGCGGUGCAUUAGCUUGUUGGUGGGGUAACGGCCUACCAAGGCGAUGAUGCAUAGCCGAGUUGAGAGACUGAUCGGCCACAAUGGGACUGAGACACGGCCCAUACUCCUACGGGAGGCAGCAGUAGGGAAUCUUCCACAAUGGGCGCAAGCCUGAUGGAGCAACACCGCGUGAGUGAAGAAGGGCUUCGGCUCGUAAAGCUCUGUUGUUAAAGAAGAACACGUAUGAGAGUAACUGUUCAUACGUUGACGGUAUUUAACCAGAAAGUCACGGCUAACUACGUGCCAGCAGCCGCGGUAAUACGUAGGUGGCAAGCGUUAUCCGGAUUUAUUGGGCGUAAAGAGAGUGCAGGCGGUUUUCUAAGUCUGAUGUGAAAGCCUUCGGCUUAACCGGAGAAGUGCAUCGGAAACUGGAUAACUUGAGUGCGGAAGAGGGUAGUGGAACUCCAUGUGUAGCGGUGGAAUGCGUAGAUAUAUGGAAGAACACCAGUGGCGAAGGCGGCUACCUGGUCUGCAACUGACGCUGAGACUCGAAAGCAUGGGUAGCGAACAGGAUUAGAUACCCUGGUAGUCCAUGCC